AUUGGACACAGUACUACUGGUUGAUC
Molecule: unclassified non-coding RNA, 26 nt
Filed under: Mus musculus (house mouse)
Lineage: Eukaryota; Metazoa; Chordata; Mammalia; Rodentia; Muridae
Description: oocyte_clustered_small_RNA8827
Source: RNAcentral